RNAcentral lists this ribosomal RNA (497 nucleotides) under uncultured bacterium. RNAcentral describes it as "partial 16S ribosomal RNA". It matches the Rfam family "Bacterial small subunit ribosomal RNA", at positions 28 to 507 of the family's 1533-position model. The record is from RNAcentral.
GAUGAACGCUGGCGGCGUGCCUAAUACAUGCAAGUCGAGCGAACGGACGAGAAGCUUGCUUCUCUGAUGUUAGCGGCGGACGGGUGAGUAACACGUGGAUAACCUACCUAUAAGACUGGGAUAACUUCGGGAAACCGGAGCUAAUACCGGAUAAUAUUUUGAACCGCAUGGUUCAAAAGUGAAAGACGGUCUUGCUGUCACUUAUAGAUGGAUCCGCGCUGCAUUAGCUAGUUGGUAAGGUAACGGCUUACCAAGGCAACGAUGCAUAGCCGACCUGAGAGGGUGAUCGGCCACACUGGAACUGAGACGCGGUCCAGACUCCUACGGGAGGCAGCAGUAGGGAAUCUUCCGCAAUGGGCGAAAGCCUGACGGAGCAACGCCGCGUGAGUGAUGAAGGUCUUCGGAUCGUAAAACUCUGUUAUUAGGGAAGAACAUAUGUGUAAGUAACUGUGCACAUCUUGACGGUACCUAAUCAGAAAGCCACGGCUAACUACGUG